CCUACGGGUGGCUGCAGUGAGGAAUAUUGGUCAAUGGGCGCUAGCCUGAACCAGCCAAGUAGCGUGAAGGAUGACUGCCCUAUGGGUUGUACACUUCUUUUAUAUGGGAAUAAAGUGCAGUAUGUAUACUGCUUUGCAUGUACCUUAUGAAUAAGGAUCGGCUAACUCCGUGCCAGCAGCCGCGGUAAUACGGAGGAUCCGAGCGUUAUCCGGAUUUAUUGGGUUUAAAGGGAGCGUAGGCGGGUUGUUAAGUCAGUUGUGAAAGUUUGCGGCUCAACCGUAAAAUUGCAGUUGAUACUGGCAUCCUUGAGUGCGCGAGAAGUAUGCGGAAUGCGUGGUGUAGCGGUGAAAUGCAUAGAUAUCACGCAGAACUCCGAUUGCGAAGGCAGCAUACCGGCGCGCAACUGACGCUCAUGCACGAAAGCGUGGGUAUCGAACAGGAUUAGAUACCCUGGUAGUC
This 460-nucleotide ribosomal RNA is filed under the name uncultured bacterium. RNAcentral describes it as "partial 16S ribosomal RNA". It matches the Rfam family "Bacterial small subunit ribosomal RNA", at positions 338 to 795 of the family's 1533-position model. The record is from RNAcentral.